RNAcentral lists this long non-coding RNA (528 nucleotides) under Brachypodium distachyon (stiff brome). RNAcentral's name for it is "long non-coding RNA (BDIS_LNC005192)". Lineage: Eukaryota; Viridiplantae; Streptophyta; Magnoliopsida; Poales; Poaceae. The record is from RNAcentral.
GCGUUUGCUGAUACGGCAGCGCGAACCGAUAACUCGCGAUCCGUUUACGCGACGCGAUGCGAUUUUGCGGUUGAAAAAUCAGCCGGGAUUGUGCGCGGAGACCGACCGACCUGAUUAGCUCCACAAACAGGGGAACGCAACGAGGAGCCUACGAAGUGCGCGUGACCACGGCCUGCGCUGAUCCGGUAAGAUUACGGUUUUCGGGCGAUGGCACCGCGACCCACCCUGGCAAGAACGGUUGCGUCUUGCCAGAUGAUCAGUCAGCAAUGAUGCCCUGCACGGAGCUUUUUUUUUUUCUCUUUUGGAAUGAGAUGGAUCGUGUGGCGGUGUUGUCUUUUUCUACUUGCCUACGAGUGAUCGAAUCGCCACGGAGAGACCAAACUUCAGGUAACCACGUAACCAGAAGCAGGCGAUUUAACGCACGAGAAGCGGACAGCUCGGCCGAACCGAAGCACACCGGUUGCAUCGGAGGCGCCACCUAGAGCGCGAGUGCGGCGCACCUGCCGUUGCGGCUGCGCAUUCAUGGGA